RNAcentral lists this ribosomal RNA (543 nucleotides) under Lacticaseibacillus rhamnosus. RNAcentral describes it as "Lactobacillus rhamnosus partial 16S ribosomal RNA". Lineage: Bacteria; Bacillati; Bacillota; Bacilli; Lactobacillales; Lactobacillaceae. The record is from RNAcentral.
GUUACAAACUCUCAUGGUGUGACGGGCGGUGUGUACAAGGCCCGGGAACGUAUUCACCGCGGCGUGCUGAUCCGCGAUUACUAGCGAUUCCGACUUCGUGUAGGCGAGUUGCAGCCUACAGUCCGAACUGAGAAUGGCUUUAAGAGAUUAGCUUGACCUCGCGGUCUCGCAACUCGUUGUACCAUCCAUUGUAGCACGUGUGUAGCCCAGGUCAUAAGGGGCAUGAUGAUUUGACGUCAUACCCACCUUCCUCCGGUUUGUCACCGGCAGUCUUACUAGAGUGCCCAACUAAAUGCUGGCAACUAGUCAUAAGGGUUGCGCUCGUUGCGGGACUUAACCCAACAUCUCACGACACGAGCUGACGACAACCAUGCACCACCUGUCAUUUUGCCCCCGAAGGGGAAACCUGAUCUCUCAGGUGAUCAAAAGAUGUCAAGACCUGGUAAGGUUCUUCGCGUUGCUUCGAAUUAAACCACAUGCUCCACCGCUUGUGCGGGCCCCCGUCAAUUCCUUUGAGUUUCAACCUUGCGGUCGUACUCCCCA